GGAAGGUGGAGGAAAGGAGUCUUAUCAGAGCUUAGCUACCUCAACCUGACUGUGGAGAAGGAGAAAAGCCUAAAUCAUCUUUGGAGGUUCUCUAUUGGACUGGGGAACAUCUAGAAAAGGAUCUGACCAUACAUGCUGUGCUUUUCAGAAGACUGCCAAAGGAAUUCACAACACAAACAAGAUGAAGAACCCCCUGGAGCAACUAGGUGGCUCAGUGGAUUGAGAAUCAGCCCCAAAGAUGGGAGAUCCUGAGUUCAAAUUUGGUCCCAGAUACUUCUGAGCUGUGUGACCCUGGAUAAAGGAAAUGAGAACUAAGGAAAUUACCUGACUUGCCCAAGCUCACACAGGUUGGAAAGAUCACUGGCAGCAUUUGAAUCCAGGUUUCCCAACCACAGUGCUAGUGGUCAUUCCACAGUAUCAGUGUCAUUUUUUACUAUAAUACUUAUUAAAUUAAACUCAGUUUAAUUAAGAAGGUUAGUCAUUAAGAGACUAGGAGACAGGAUGCAGAUGAAAUAUGUCCAGAAGACCAAAAUAAAAGUCUUCAGGAAGCAAUAUAAUAAUUAUUA
RNAcentral lists this long non-coding RNA (566 nucleotides) under Monodelphis domestica (gray short-tailed opossum). RNAcentral's name for it is "lncRNA (ENSMODG00000035109.2)". Lineage: Eukaryota; Metazoa; Chordata; Mammalia; Didelphimorphia; Didelphidae. The record is from RNAcentral.